GCAGUUCAGUAUAUUUCUGUAGAAUAUUCGAUACACCUGCUACACCCAUCAGCGCUUGUAUAAAUGUAUAAUACUCGUAAGUCAGUAUAUUCGUAUAUUUUUACGUGUCCAUUCAUGACUGUUUAUUAUAUAUAUAUAUAUAUAUAUAUAUAUAUAUAUCCUUGCCACGUUAUGAUUGGAACUUUCCACGGCCAUCAGCCACCAUCCCGUUUUACCAUGACCGACUACGACUAUAUUGAAGUUAAGGAGAUGAUGGGUGACUACGGGAAUAGAGCCAAAUCCUGCUUGCUGUCAAUUAUUAUCGGAUUAUGGAAAUAUUGAAUUGAGAUAUCACAUUACCUGGCCAAGUUGAUUGGCGUCUAUUACUGCAGACUAUCAAUCUUCACUACGUAAAUAUCUUUGUAGUUAUCCUAAUUGUCAAUAAAUAAAUUAAAAUUUAGUGUGACGCUGUGAUACAUAAUUUCAACUAGCAUGAACAAUAUAUAUGUUGUAUAGUGUAUAUACAUAUAUGAAUUUAAAUAUACUGGAUGUGUAUUCUGAUCCUCACUCACAGAGAAAAUGUGUAUAGAAAAUGUUUAAUGUCAAUAUUUUCAAGCAUAAAGUAAUUGGUAAAUGUUCCAUAUAUUAUAUUUAUGUGUUGAAAUGAUGAUAUGUUACAGGAAAAGAAAACAUUUUAUAUCAUGACCAGAAAUAUUGACUAAUAUUUAUAGA
Melanaphis sacchari is the source of this 711-nucleotide long non-coding RNA. RefSeq lists it as uncharacterized. NCBI's taxonomy places the organism in Eukaryota, Metazoa, Arthropoda, Insecta, Hemiptera, Aphididae. The record is from RefSeq and is a predicted model, not a curated record. The transcript has 3 exons.